This 400-nucleotide ribosomal RNA is filed under the name phytoplankton environmental sample. RNAcentral describes it as "partial small subunit ribosomal RNA". It matches the Rfam family "Eukaryotic small subunit ribosomal RNA", at positions 587 to 992 of the family's 1831-position model. The record is from RNAcentral.
AGCUCUGUAAGCGUAUAUCAAAGUUGUUGCAGUUAAAACGCUCGUAGUCGAAUCUUGGCUGAACUUACGCGGAGUCCGCAAGGAUUCUGCGGUUGAGGAAAGCCUUUGUGGAUUGUGUGCGCGGAGGUGUUUUAUUACACUUCCGUUGUACUGCCACCGUUUACUGUGAAAAAAUUAGAGUGUUCAAAGCAAGCGAUUUGCCCUGAAUACAUUAGCAUGGAAUAAUAGAAUAGGACCUGGUCUUAUUUUGUUGGUUUGUAUAAUUUCAGGUAAUGAUUAACAGGGACGGUUGGGGGCAUUUGUAUUCCGAGGCGAGAGGUGAAAUUCUUAGACCCUCGGAAGACAAACAGCUGCGAAAGCGUUUGCCAAGGACGUUUUCAUUGAUCAAGAACGAAAGUAC